RNAcentral lists this ribosomal RNA (253 nucleotides) under uncultured bacterium. RNAcentral describes it as "partial 16S ribosomal RNA". It matches the Rfam family "Bacterial small subunit ribosomal RNA", at positions 524 to 776 of the family's 1533-position model. The record is from RNAcentral.
UACGUAGGUGGCGAGCGUUGUCCGGAUUUACUGGGCGUAAAGGAUGCGUAGGUGGAAACUUAAGUGAGAUGUGAAAUCCGCGGGCUCAACCCGUGAACUGCAUUUCAAACUGGGUUACUAGAGUGCAGGAGAGGAAAGCGGAAUUCCUAGUGUAGCGGUGAAAUGCGUAGAUAUUAGGAAGAACACCGGUGGCGAAGGCGGCUUUCUGGACUGUAACUGACACUGAGGCAUGAAAGCGUGGGGAGCAAACAGG